Molecule: ribosomal RNA, 253 nt
Filed under: uncultured bacterium
Lineage: Bacteria
Description: partial 16S ribosomal RNA
Rfam family: Bacterial small subunit ribosomal RNA
Source: RNAcentral
UACGUAGGGUGCGAGCGUUAAUCGGAAUUACUGGGCGUAAAGCGUGCGCAGGCGGUGAUGUAAGUCAGGUGUGAAAUCCCCGGGCUUAACCUGGGAACUGCAUUUGUGACUGCAUCGCUGGAGUACGGCAGAGGGGGAUGGAAUUCCGCGUGUAGCAGUGAAAUGCGUAGAUAUGCGGAGGAACACCGAUGGCGAAGGCAAUCCCCUGGGCCUGUACUGACGCUCAUGCACGAAAGCGUGGGGAGCAAACAGG